This 327-nucleotide ribosomal RNA is filed under the name uncultured eukaryote. RNAcentral describes it as "partial 18S ribosomal RNA". It matches the Rfam family "Eukaryotic small subunit ribosomal RNA", at positions 1470 to 1796 of the family's 1831-position model. The record is from RNAcentral.
CCCUUAGAUGUUCUGGGCCGCACGCGCGCUACACUGGCGGAGCCAACGAGUACUUUCCUUGUCCGGAAGGACUGGGUAAUCUUGUGAAACUUCGUCGUGCUGGGGAUAGAGCAUUGCAAUUAUUGCUCUUCAACGAGGAAUUCCUAGUAAGCGUGAGUCAUCAGCUCGCGUUGAUUACGUCCCUGCCCUUUGUACACACCGCCCGUCGCUACUACCGAUUGAAUGGCUUAGUGAGCCUUUGGGAUUGGCAGCUUGUACCGGCAACGGUAGCAGGCCGCUGAAAACUUAGGCAAACUUGGUCAUUUAGAGGAAGUAAAAGUCGUAACA